AACGAACGCUGGCGGCAGGCUUAACACAUGCAAGUCGAGCGCCCCGCAAGGGGAGCGGCAGACGGGUGAGUAACGCGUGGGAACGUACCUUUUGGUUCGGAACAACUCCGGGAAACUGGAGCUAAUACCGGAUAAGCCCUAACGGGGAAAGAUUUAUCGCCGAAAGAUCGGCCCGCGUCUGAUUAGCUAGUUGGUGAGGUAACGGCUCACCAAGGCGACGAUCAGUAGCUGGUCUGAGAGGAUGAUCAGCCACACUGGGACUGAGACACGACCCAGACUCCUACGGGAGGCAGCAGUGGGGAAUAUUGGACAAUGGGCGCAAGCCUGAUCCAGCCAUGCCGCGUGAGUGAUGAAGGCCUUAGGGUUGUAAAGCUCUUUUGUCCGGGAAGAUAAUGACUGUACCGGAAGAAUAAGCCCCGGCUAACUUCGUG
RNAcentral lists this ribosomal RNA (431 nucleotides) under uncultured bacterium. Its description in RNAcentral is "partial 16S ribosomal RNA". It matches the Rfam family "Bacterial small subunit ribosomal RNA", at positions 29 to 507 of the family's 1533-position model. The record is from RNAcentral.